This 69-nucleotide transfer RNA is filed under the name Dipodomys ordii (Ord's kangaroo rat). It matches the Rfam family "tRNA". Rfam says of the family: Transfer RNA (tRNA) molecules are approximately 80 nucleotides in length. Lineage: Eukaryota; Metazoa; Chordata; Mammalia; Rodentia; Heteromyidae. The record is from Rfam by way of RNAcentral.
GGUGGCUCAGUGGUAGAGCCCUUGCCUUGCAAGCAAGCCUGAGGCCCUGGGUUCGAUUCCUCAGCACCA